This is a long non-coding RNA of Haliotis rubra (blacklip abalone), 253 nucleotides long. RefSeq lists it as uncharacterized. The transcript is spliced from 3 exons. The record is from RefSeq and is a predicted model, not a curated record. Lineage: Eukaryota; Metazoa; Mollusca; Gastropoda; Lepetellida; Haliotidae.
GGGACAGCAUACAGGUAGUAGGGACAACAUACAGGUUGGGGAACAGCGUACAGGUAGUAGGGACAACAUACAGGUUGGGGGACAGCAUACAGGUAGUAGGGACAAGCUACAGGUAGUAAGGACAACAUACAUGUUUGGGGACAGCAUACAGUUUGGAGGACAGCAUACAGGUAGUAGGGACAACAUACAGGUUUCGGGACAGCAUGCAGAUAGUAGGGACAACAUACAGGUAGUGGGGAAAACAUAGAGACAA